UUGACUAAUGUGACCUCAAAUCAGAUGGGACUACC
Molecule: ribosomal RNA, 35 nt
Filed under: Flagelloscypha minutissima
Lineage: Eukaryota; Fungi; Basidiomycota; Agaricomycetes; Agaricales; Niaceae
Description: partial 25S ribosomal RNA
Source: RNAcentral